This 541-nucleotide ribosomal RNA is filed under the name uncultured archaeon. RNAcentral describes it as "bacterial SSU rRNA". It matches the Rfam family "Archaeal small subunit ribosomal RNA", at positions 457 to 997 of the family's 1478-position model. The record is from RNAcentral.
UCGAGCCGCCGCGGUAACACCGGCGGCCCGAGUGGUGAUCGUGAUUAUUGGGUCUAAAGGGUCCGUAGCCGGUUUGGUCAGUCCUCCGGGAAAUCUGAUAGCUCAACUAUUAGGCUUUCGGGGGAUACUGCCAGACUUGGAACCGGGAGAGGUAAGAGGUACUACAGGGGUAGGAGUGAAAUCUUGUAAUCCCUGUGGGACCACCUGUGGCGAAGGCGUCUUACCAGAACGGGUUCGACGGUGAGGGACGAAGCUGGGGGCACGAACCGGAUUAGAUACCCGGGUAGUCCCAGCCGUAAACGAUGCUCGCUAGGUGUCAGGCAUGGCGCGACCGUGUCUGGUGCCGCAGGGAAGCCGUGAAGCGAGCCACCUGGGAAGUACGGCCGCAAGGCUGAAACUUAAAGGAAUUGGCGGGGGAGCACAACAACGGGUGGAAGCCUGCGGUUUAAUUGGACUCAGCGCCGGACAACUCACCGGGGGCGACAGCAAUAUGUAGGCCAAGCUGAAGACUUUGCCUGAAUCGCUGAGAGGUGGUGCAUGG